AUGUGAUUGGCUAAGAGAAGACGUGCGCUGAGUGUGUGGGAGAGCGAGAGAGAGGAGAGUAAAGAGAGAGAGAGAGUGUGUGUGUGAGUGUGUAUGAGAAGGGGAGAGAGGACAUCACAGAAUUGGAGGUCACUUAAAGAGCAGAAAGGAAAAAAAUACGAUGCACCGACGAUGCUCACCAGAAGAGGGCGGCAGAUUCAAAUAUGACUGAUAAAUUUGACUCCAAACAAGGAUUCAUCUGUGGAAAAGGUCAAACAGUGGACUUUUUCAGUAACAAUGCUAACGCACAUAUCUGAAGGAGGUCUACACAUGCAGCAUGUUGGCUAUUCACCUAAAACUGAGCAAAUAUCCACAUUAAGAUACACUGGCUAAUGCUCUCCUGCUUACAUAGACUGAUUCAGUAUCAAAAUGUGGUCUCAGAUAGGAUUAGGUGUGAUUCUUUCCUUCCUCAUUUUGCUAACGGUGUGUGGAAAUGUGUUGGUGUGUCUGGCUGUUUGCGCAACCAGACGCCUGCGCAGCGUCACCAACUGCUUCAUCGUGUCACUUGCUAUUACUGACCUACUCCUUGGAGCUCUAGUCCUCCCUUUCUCCACUCUCAUUCAGGUAACUGGGGACUGGCCUCUGGGAGCUCACUUCUGCAAUGUGUACAUUUCAAUGGACGUCAUGCUGAGCACUGCUUCUAUUCUUAAUCUCCUGGCUAUUAGUAUAGACCGCUACAUUGCAGUCACGGUGCCUUUACGUUACCCUACACUGGUGCUCCCAUGGCAUGUUGGUACAUCAUUAGCAGUAAUCUGGCUGGUGUCCAUUGGUGUCUCGUUUGUUCCCAUUCACCUGGGCUGGAACACAGUGGACCAAACGGUGCAGAAUCAUGGUAAGGACGACCCUGCGGGAGACUGCCGCUUUGAGCUAAAUCCCACCUAUGUGCUAGUGGAUUCACUCGCAACAUUUUAUCUCCCCCUGGUGGCAAUGUGCUGGACUUAUUACCGAAUAUUCCGGAUUGCACGGGCCCAGGCCAAGAAAAUCCUUUCCGUACACAGAGCUUGCUCUUCAACCACCAUGUCUUCAUUAUCAGGAGUGUCAGUGUUGACGCUACGUGAGCACAAAGCUGCAGUGAGAUUAGCGUUUGUUCUGGGCGCUUUUGUGGUUUGCUGGUUCCCCUAUUUUACAUUUUUCACCAUUAUGGGAAUACGAAAGGAAACAGAUCCUCCACGCACGCCAUACUCAGUGGUGCUAUGGUUAGGCUAUGCUAACUCCACGCUAAACCCAUUCCUUUAUGCCGCACUCAACAGGGACUUUAGGUCUGCUUAUGGCAGGCUGUUGUUUGGCUGGAGGGGCGUUAACACACCAACAGGAACGCCUACUACUGUGCUAGAGUCGGGGCUGUUGAAUGGACUCACCCCUUCCAGCAGCAGGGCAGAGUUUAUACCUGGAUCCUGUGUCAUGCUGCAGGACAUGAGCAAAGCAAACGGGGACGGGAGCAACGGGACAUCUCUCAGCAUCGUCACUGUCCUGUCCAAUGGCCACAACAGGUAUUGGAGACACAAAACCAAUGGACAACAAUUUAAAUACACAAUACAAGGACCAUUUUAUAAUUGUAUUUAAUUUUGCUUAAUGAAUGCAUUAUUGAUUUCUUACUAAGGUUCAACCAUCAUUUCUCUAUCCAUGUUUAUUUCUCCCUGCCAGAGCUUAAUCUUUUGAACAAAUACAGAAGCCUGUCUCUCUUUCCAUAAAAAUAACCACAAUCUAAUCUUCAUCCCAGUUUCUAACGGCCCUCCAGUGUGAAGCAGUAGGGGUUGUCCGCCACAAUCUGAUGAAACAUUUGGUCCUCUGAGAGAUAUGAGGAGACAAAAGCUCUGAAGAAAGGACUGUGUAUUGAGUCUUACUAAAGCAGAUGAAAAAUGAUGAAAGAGGGGGGGCUACUUGAAAAAAAUGGUACUUGAAAAAAGUGCAUCUGACUGCAGACCGGCAAGGCCUGGCUGUUGGAGGCUACAAGAACAGAGACUGUAAGACGCUACAAGAAAGCGUUUCGUGCUGCUUGGUUAACCCUAGCUGGGCUAACCCUAGCCCUCUACAGGUCAGUGGAGGAACUACAACAAAAAAUGUGAAUACUGUAUAAAGACUGAAAAAUAAAAUUUUUUUGUCAACUAAUGCCAGUUUAAAUGAAAAAGCCGUAUAGAAUUUCAGGUGUAUCAUAUAUGUAUGUGUGUACAUAUAUAUACAAAUAUAUAAGAUAGUUCUGUUUAAAGAUAACAAGCUGUAAGACAGUGAAAUAGUAAAAUAAAUAAAUAAAUAAAAUUUCAAUCAAACCCAAAUUUGCCUUCGCCUUUUAAACUGCAUGUUUUUUUAGACACACUGCUGUGGUGUUUUCUGAGAAACAAAAAUGUGAAUACAAAAAAUAAAACUGUGCAUUAACAGUGUUACAGUUGAAUUACUGUACUAUGUAGAAUUAAUAAACAUCACCUUCUGUAGAAAAAAUAAAUACAUUCCAUUUAUUUUGUACAAACAUAUAGAGUACCGUGCAAAAAAUGUAAAACAACCAUUAAAAUAUUAAAUUAAAAGGAUCAGUGAACAAGUUUUUAUCAGAUUUUGUUUUUCUUUUAUAAGAAAGGUAAGUUUAUUUUUCCAUAGACUACAGCAGAUAUAAAUAGGUAGAGUGCCUAAAACCUUUGCAAGGUACUUUACAUUGUCAAAAUAUGUAUUUAAAAACGUUGUAUUGAAAUGCUUUUAUGUACUUUGUAUUUUAUAUUUUCAAAAUACUCACAUUAUUUGACUGUGUACGAUAUGUAAACUUAUCCUCAUUUAGGUUUGGUGGAUUUUAAAGCAGGCACUAAUUAAAAACUCUCUGUCCAUUUUCUGAAUGGUUCUCUUGCUUAUCUUCAGGAUGUUGCAAAAAAAUAAUAAGCAUUUAUCAGAAAUGCUAAAAAUUUCAAGAAUGUUCCUUUUUAUACUUGGCUAGUUGGAUGACUAGUUGGUUGCUUGCAAGCAAGGAACGUUGCGAUGAUGUUAAACUCUAGACAAAAGAUGCAUUUGAGCUAAUAUUUGAGUAAUAUUCCCGACAAAACUGUGUGAAUGAUUAAGACUAUAGAAUUUAUCAGGUCACCAGAAUGGUUUCUGAAGAAUAACUAUUAUUAGUGUUAGCUAUCAUAAAUCAGAAUGUUAGCAUUAUCGUAAACUAGACUGUUAGCCUUUUUAUAAACUAGAAUGUUAACAUUAUCAUUAGAGACUCAAGUGUCACCACUAAUCUUAUGCUAUUCUCACAAAAACAUAGUUUUGUGUUCAAAAGAAUUAUUUUUUCUCUUUUUUUGUUGACAGUCUUUUGUAGCUUUGUGGCACAUUUGCAUCUGAGGUGUUUGUGAAAUUCUCCUCAUGUUGACCAUAAAAUGACAACAAUUCUGAUACGUGGAAGAAUGUUCCCCGUGUUCUUUUAAAGCCCUUUGAUAGAAAAUCAUAAGGAUUUUCUGUGGAAGUUGUUCAGCUUUUGGAAGUUACAAAUCCAUUUUUUUUUCUCUCAGUAGCACAUUGACAUCUCCAUCCCAUUCCAUUAUAUCUGUUCAGGUUGUUUUUUUUCCUAUCUCUCUGCCUCACACCUCUCUCCCUUUCUCUCCAUCUCUCUCUCUCUGUGUG
Molecule: RNA transcript, 3624 nt
Organism: Hemibagrus wyckioides
Lineage: Eukaryota; Metazoa; Chordata; Actinopteri; Siluriformes; Bagridae
Gene: hrh2a
Gene name: histamine receptor H2a
Exons: 3
Source: RefSeq, a predicted model, not a curated record